GAGAAAGAGAGAGAGAGAGAGAGUCUUUGGCAUGUGUUGGAGACAGAGAGAGUAGAUUUUGUGUUCAGGAGAGAAUUAAAUUUGGGUGACAAAAAAAAUGAUUUGGAUGAUUUUGAGUGGGUUGGGUUCAAAUCGGACCUCUUGGGUGAGAGAAAAUGAUUAAUUGGGUCUCUGAAAAUUAAAAUAAGUUAGUCUUAUUUUUUAUUUUUAGAAUUAUGUGUUGGUUGAAAGAAGAAUUGAGUUAAUUAAUUAAUGUGGAGCUGGAAGUAGUUAAAAUAAUUGCCUGAUAAUUUAGAAUAGAUAUUACCUGAUAAUCUCCUUAAAUCAAGUUACAGGAACAGUUGAACUAAGGUGCAGAUUAUUGAUGUAGCAAGCUUGGCCACCAAGCAAACUUGAUGCAGCAGUUAACCCAUAUAUCCUGCUGCCAGAAAAUAAUGUCAUAGUAUCCAGCUUAAUGCAAACCCCGAGACGAUACUUGCACAUGAAUACAGUUGAGUUUCAGGUUUCAGCAAUUUAUUGAGCUGCUUGAUGCUACCUACGUAUAGUUUUGCACUAUAUAUGUGGAAAUAUAGAAAGACGACAACCCCACCCAGUUAAGGAGGUUUCCCUAAUAGAUCAUUGCCAAUUACAGGCCAGGUAUGAUCUCUCCUCAUUUCUUGACUUUACUAUUCAUUCAUCACAACUAGUGUUUUAUUUCAUUAUUAGAUAUACGACAUGGAAAAUCAAGGACCAAGUCCCCUGUUGCUGUGUUGCUUACCCUCUUUACCACCCACGUGUAACCCUCCAUGUCCUACCCAUGAACCUCUUUCAUUUUCCUCCGCCCACGUGUCUGGCAUUUCUACACCCAGAGACAAAUAUGCUCUCUCUUCUCUAAGCACUCCUCCCUCAAAUUCCUCCUGCAACACACAUUCGCUGCCUUUCUUCUCAAAUAUCAAUAAUGGUUCAUUCCCAAUGCAUCAAAAUCGUAUCAGAGACGCAGACAAACUAGAAACCCCACUACCAACAAGAAUAGAGACAUGAGAACUAGGCGUGACAAGAGAAUGGCCAUGGCUAAACGCGGUAUCCGAUCGCUAGCCAUAGCAGUUGCUUUCCCUCUCGCUUUGACCCUAUUCAAUAUCUAUUUAUUUGGCUCCAUUAAUGGUUAUGGCGCCGUAUCAAAACCUUUUCGAUUCCUUCCCAUGUGGGCUCUACACUUCACCUACUUGGCUUCCAGCUCCUUAAUGGGACUCUCCGCUUGGCUUGUUUGGGCUGAAGGCGGGUUCCAUAGAGAACCAACGAUCCUUUCUCUUUACAUGGCACAACUUGGUCUUAGUUUGGCAUGGGACCCGAUUGUGUUCCGUAUGGGAGAGACUUGGAUAGGUUUGGUUGUGUGCUUGGCUAUGUUUGGGGCUCUCGUUGGGUGUUCUCGUCAAUUCAAAGAAGUGAAUCCAAUCGCUGGCGAUUUGGUUAAGCCUUGUUUGGCAUGGGCCACAAUUUUAGCCAUUGUAAAUCUAAAGCUUGUUUUUCUUUGAAAUUUGAAAAGUUGAAAAAUUGAUGUACAGGCUAGAGGGGAUAUUGUUGAUAAAUGGUACUCAGAUGGUGCCUUUGUAAACUUCUCAC
RNAcentral lists this unclassified non-coding RNA (1599 nucleotides) under Hevea brasiliensis (rubber tree). The record is from RNAcentral. Lineage: Eukaryota; Viridiplantae; Streptophyta; Magnoliopsida; Malpighiales; Euphorbiaceae.